ACACAAAUUUUAUUCCAUAGAAUUUAUUAAAAACGUAUGGAAUCAAAGUGCAAUGCUCUUGAAGUGCUUUUUUAUUAAGACGAUGUGCACAUGAAAAUUUAUUUUUUGUGGCUUGGAGUGUUUUAUGAUAAUGUUAUUUGUUGUUUUUUCAUUAAACCUUUUAAAGGCAAUGGUUUGUAAUUUGGAUUUUAACUUAUUGAUAUGUGAUUGUGAGUGUGUGUUAUUUAUUUAAACUUUUUGGAAGUAGAAAAAUAUUAGUAAGUUAAAAA
Molecule: long non-coding RNA, 269 nt
Organism: Populus euphratica (Euphrates poplar)
Lineage: Eukaryota; Viridiplantae; Streptophyta; Magnoliopsida; Malpighiales; Salicaceae
Exons: 2
Source: RefSeq, a predicted model, not a curated record